AAUAAACGCUGGCGGCGUGCCUAACACAUGCAAGUCGAACGGGAAAGUGGGGCAACCCGUGAGUAUAGUGGCGUACGGGUGAGUAACACGUGGAUAAUCUACCUUCUAGUGGGGAAUAACCUUGGGAAACUGGGGACAAUACCGCAUAAGCUCGAGAGAGGAAAGCAGCAAUGCGCUGAGGGAGGAGUCCGCGGCCGAUUAGCUAGUUGGCAGGGUAAAAGCCUACCAAGGCAAAGAUCGGUAGCCGGCCUGAGAGGGCACACGGCCACACUGGCACUGAAACACGGGCCAGACUCCUACGGGAGGCAGCAGUGGGGAAUCUUGCACAAUGGGGGAAACCCUGAUGCAGCGACGCCGCGUGAGCGAUGAAGCCCUUCGGGGUGUAAAGCUCUUUCGGCAGGGAAGAUGGUGACGGUACCUGCAGAAGCAGCUGCGGCUAACUACGUGCCAGCAGCCGCGGUAAUACAUAGGCAGCAAGCGUUGUUCGGAGUUACUGGGCGUAAAGGGUGUGUAGGCGGUUGUUUAAGUUUGGUGUGAAAUCUCCCGGCUCAACUGGGAGGGUGCGCCGAAUACUGAAUGACUAGAGUGCGGGAGAGGAAAGUGGAAUUCCUGGUGUAGCGGUGAAAUGCGUAGAUAUCAGGAGGAACACCGGUGGUGUAGACGGCUUUCUGGACCGUAACUGACGCUGAGACACGAAAGCGUGGGUAGCAAACAGGAUUAGAUACCCUGGUAGUCCACGCCCUAAACGAUGCAUAUUUGGUGUGGGCAGUUCAUUCUGUCUGUGCCGGAGCUAACGC
Molecule: ribosomal RNA, 797 nt
Filed under: uncultured bacterium
Lineage: Bacteria
Description: bacterial SSU rRNA
Rfam family: Bacterial small subunit ribosomal RNA
Source: RNAcentral